CGGAGGAUCCAAGCGUUAUCCGGAAUCAUUGGGUUUAAAGGGUCCGUAGGCGGGUUUAUAAGUCAGUGGUGAAAGCCCAUCGCUACAACGAUGGAACGGCCAUUGAUACUGUAGAUCUUGAAUUAUUAGGAAGUAACUAGAAUAUGUAGUGUAGCGGUGAAAUGCUUAGAGAUUACAUGGAAUACCAAUUGCGAAGGCAGGUUACUACUAAUGGAUUGACGCUGAUGGACGAAAGCGUGGGUAGCGAACAGGAUUAGAUACCCUGGUAGUCCACGCCGUAAACGAUGGAUACUAGCUGUUCGGAGCAAUCUGAGUGGCUAAGCGAAAGUGAUAAGUAUCCCACCUGGGGAGUACGUUCGCAAGAAUG
This 367-nucleotide ribosomal RNA is filed under the name uncultured organism. RNAcentral describes it as "bacterial SSU rRNA". It matches the Rfam family "Bacterial small subunit ribosomal RNA", at positions 526 to 896 of the family's 1533-position model. The record is from RNAcentral.